Molecule: unclassified non-coding RNA, 343 nt
Filed under: soil metagenome
Description: partial contains 5.8S ribosomal RNA, internal transcribed spacer 2, and large subunit ribosomal RNA
Rfam family: 5.8S ribosomal RNA (bases 1-120)
Source: RNAcentral
GAUGAAGAACGUAGCGAAAUGCGAUAAGUAAUGUGCAUUGCAGAAUUCAGUGAAUCAUCGAAUCUUUGAACGCACAUUGCGCCCGCCAGCAUUCUGGCGGGCAUGCCUGUUCGAGCGUCAUUUCAACCCUCGAGCCCCCCCGGGGGCCUCGGUGUUGGGGGACGGCACACCAGCCGCCCCCGAAAUGCAGUGGCGACCCCGCCGCAGCCUCCCCUGCGUAGUAGCACACACCUCGCACCGGAGCGCGGAGGCGGUCACGCCGUAAAACGCCCAACUUUCUUAGAGUUGACCUCGGAUCAGGUAGGAAUACCCGCUGAACUUAAGCAUAUCAAUAAGCGGAGGA